Molecule: long non-coding RNA, 3874 nt
Organism: Lethenteron reissneri (Far Eastern brook lamprey)
Lineage: Eukaryota; Metazoa; Chordata; Hyperoartia; Petromyzontiformes; Petromyzontidae
Source: RefSeq, a predicted model, not a curated record
GCGCAAUCAUGGCGUACGUGGUCAAUGGUGAGUGGGCGCUUCGCGUGUCGCUUUCAAAUCGUAACAUUGCGGCUUUUACUUGCCCCACCGAGUCUCAAUUCAUCCCCACACACACAUAAGACGCGUCAUGGAGAGUCGGCAUCAGUCGUUGUGGCGGCUGUCGGCGAUACCGGAACUGUUUUGGAGCGUCGUGAACUUCGUAGGGCUCUUCUUUCAGACAAUGUUCCAGCCAGAUUUGACAAGAAGGGGUCGUGGAUACACAUCAAACUACACUCCGUCGCAGGAUGGGAGAGGGCCCCCACCAGGAGGUCCCCAGAGACGGAUGGGCAGGAUAAACCAUGGUAGUGGACCCGGUGCACCACCCAUGGCAGGGGGUGGAUGAGGAAGGUAAACGCCUGUCUCAAAAGGCAGGCGCCGAGGGUGGUGGUGUCCCUGGAUAUAGGCGCUUGUUCACAGAUGUCCUAAUCACCGGGCUGUGCACGUGAACUUUGGCGCUGUGACGGGUCACUCUUCACCCUCUCCCAGGAGUUGCGCUGCAGCCGUGGCUGCCGAGUGUGACGUCCCGUUGGCAAAGCCCACCGAUAGCGUGGAACCAGCGGGACUGAAAAUGCAAACUCCAAUCUCCCAUUGUAACAUCAAGUCUAAACUUUUCUGAUCAUUAUUGUUACAUCCUACCAAAAGCUUUGUCCAGUGCUGAGAUGCAAAGCUCUUCAACAAAAUAGCUUUUGCUUGAGGGAUACCUUGGUUUGUGAGUUGAUGCACUGCAACGAUAUAAUUUUUGCUACUGAAAAGCAAUGUCUCAUUCAUGAGCAACAAUUGUAGCUCUCCGAUUUUCUUUGUAACCAUUAAUAUACUUCUUUUAAGUAAAGCAUGUGGAGAUCUGGCUUAAGUGGGUUCCAUAAUUUUGUAAAAAGAACCCAAUUUAUAUUUCGUUAUGUUAAAUUUAAGAGACAACUUUGAUAUCCAGAAGAAACUUACUGUUUAUCUAAACUCCACAUAUUGGUGAAUCCUGUGUUAAUACCACUGCAAAUGUCGAUUUAAAAACUUGUCAACAUCCGUUCUUUCAGAAGUUUAUUUACAGUUGUUGACUUAGUAAGAGGUUUCCAUGGGAAAAUUCACAACACCUGUCGGCAACAACGUCGGUGGAGGUAAGAGCACUGCAAUGGGUUGAGUUACCUAUGGGCUACCACAGUUGAACCGCAAAGGUGAGCUGGAACGCAACAGUUUUCACAGCUUGCCAUUCGGGUGCGAGUUCGGUCAUGUUAAUCGCAUGUUCACGACACAUGUCCGACCCGCACCCGAACAGCAAUCCGCUGCGUGGGUCAUCCACGGUGACCCGACCUCUUGCAGGACUCUGGUGGGAUGUAAAGCUGUCUUAAAUUGGUGGUGCGGUUAUAAGACACUCUAAAGCAAUGACAUUUACAUCUUGUUGAAGCAUCCUUCACUGGUUAAUGUGCUCCUGUGGUUGCUGUUGCUCUUGUAGGCUAUGUGGCAAAUAUGCCAUUAUAAUUAAUUUACAACUUUAGAUGACACUUUAGAAAAUAAAUGUAAGUGUUACUCUUGAUUUUAGUCAAAAGAGUACGAUUUGGUGCUGAGGAUAAAUUGGUACCAAUGGUCUUGCCUUUUGUGGGGACGAUGGAAAAUUACAAAUAGCUUGUUCAUGCUUAUGGUUCAUGAGGACUGUAACCUCUGUGCAAUAAAACAUUUACCUUUUUAAAACAAAUUAAAUGUACACGAAAGUUGAAACUGUAAUCUUGGGGUUUCAUUCCUUAAGCAAAAACGUUAUUCCUGCAACAAAAUCCCAUGUAAUUUGCACACGUUUUCAAAAGCUAGCCAGGUGCAGUUUCAGCACGGACGGAACUUGAGUCAAGGCAUAGCGCUGGAGGGAGUCAUGGGCUCCAUUUGGCGUCAGAUUUUGUUCGUAUCGGUAAUGGACAGGAGCGGGAGUGUGAGAUGAGGGUCACGAACAUGGGUCCCACACUCUCGACAUGUUGCGGGAAGAGAAAGGAUGGGGGUCUGUGAUGAUGGUCGGUGUUCCUCUUAAUCUGCUUCGAGGAGUAGUGGGAAGGGAUUGGAGGCCUUUGAUGGGGGCUCCGUGUUGGAGCUCUGGCCAUGUCAAUAUCCGAGGAGGCGUGCACAUGAGAGGUGGGAGUCUGUCAUGGAGGUUGUUAACAUCGUUCCAUCUCUGUAUUAAGACAGGAUGAGUAUGACUGCCCUACAGCCCAUGUACCAGAAGUUCUAGAUACCAGAUUACUAAUACCAAGAAAGGUGGGCAGGAGGACCCGUUGCAGAUCCUACAGGGCUCGUACGAACUAGGCGAUGCCCCUGGCAGCUGUUGUCUGGUCCAGGCUGAACCAGCCCUGUGCUCCUGUAAACAAAUACAUUCUUGAUGUGUUCUUUUAGUAUUUUCUUUUUUUUAUAUAUAUACUGACGAAUGGAAGCCAAGAGCCAGUAGGAAUGUUAGGGCAUAGUAAGUCGAGGGAGAUGCAGGAGACUGCAGUCAGCCAAGCAAGCCACUCAAAUCCCAGGUAAAAUUGAAAUCGGGCAAACAGGCUUGUGGAUGUGGGCCUAAUGCCAAGCAAGCAACUAUUAUUCUGUUUAAUUUAGUUAACAAAAUGAUAGUAAUGUCAGCAAUAACACGGCCAAAUGCAUCCUUUUGUUUUAAAGGAAGUUUUCCAUACCCACACUGCCUCUCCGAAGAUGGUGCCCUGAUUUGUGGAGGGAAGGUGGGUUUGUGGCUGCCACAGCACAGAAAUACAUCACAUACACUAUCCAAGCAGAACUAAAUUUAUAAAGUUUAUUUAUCAUUGAUGCGUUAGGUGCAAGAAGCAGUUGAAAAUCGAUAUUUAAAUUAACAGGAGUCCCUCGCGAAAUGCACCCCCCUCCCCAUCGCGCAAAUUUGCAGCUAAGCGAUUCAUCUUAUAGGGACUUCACACGUUUCUGCUAUGCCUUCCACAGUGGUGUGCUCAAUUUUUAUUUACAUUUUUCCAAAUAAUUUUCAAGGACAAAAUUUCAAAGUGAAAAUAAAAAUUCUGAUGGCGUCACCGCCGUUGUAGCAGCGCCGGGUGUCACGGGCCCGGGCGUCGCUCCUUGCAACUGCUGCCCACGGAAGCAUUCAAUAAGCCCUGAAGUUACUCCUUAUUAAGUAAUCUUUGUCAGUAGUAAUCUUUUCAAUCUUAAUUAUUAUUUGUUAUUCAUGUUAAUAUAAAGUGUGACUAAUAUGUUUUUUUGUAAAUACAGGACUAAAGUAAUUUAAAAAAUACAUUCUUCCGAAACGCAAUCCCCCCUUAUAACAUGUAUGUCUAUGGGACAAUAGACUUCAUACAGCGCGAUUCGAGUUGUGUGCUGUUUUUCAAAAACGCGUGUCGCUCGUUAUGAGGGACACAUGAUAUUCGACAACAUUCCAAUGCAACAUAUGCUUAAUCGACAUUUAAAUUCAGCAUAUGUGGAUAUGUAUGAUUAUAAUUAAACAUGUUUAAAAACUUUUAGAUUUAAUAAUAGCAAACAUUGUUUGCUAUUAUUAAUAGCAAACAUUGUUAAUCAAUAUUUUAACGUGCAAUAAACGUACUAUUUUUAAUUCUUUAAAAUGUUGCAAAAUUGACGUCAUAGUGACGCCUUGGUGAUGGCAUUGGGAUGUCACGUGACAUCAAAAUGACAUCCAAUGGAUAAAGUUACCCCUGCAAGAGGAAUGUGAAAUUUACAACACUGCAUCAGGGUGUACUGGAUUGUGUUAUUGUACUGUUAAUGGUUUGUGCUGGUCUGUGUUGUUUCUUCGUGUGGUACUGUAAUGUGUUACAUGUUGCUGUUAUUUUUUGUUAAAUUCAUGUUUUCUGAUGCCUAGUACAGUCCCAACAAUAAACAUUGCCCAAAGUUA